RNAcentral lists this transfer RNA (85 nucleotides) under Halobacteroides halobius DSM 5150. RNAcentral describes it as "tRNA-Leu (TAG) (tRNA-Leu-TAG-1-1)". It matches the Rfam family "tRNA". From Rfam's summary of the family: Transfer RNA (tRNA) molecules are approximately 80 nucleotides in length. Their secondary structure includes four short double-helical elements and three loops (D, anti-codon, and T loops). The record is from RNAcentral. Lineage: Bacteria; Bacillati; Bacillota; Clostridia; Halanaerobiales; Halobacteroidaceae.
GCGAAGGUGGUGGAAUUGGCAGACACGCUAGACUUAGGAUCUAGUGCCGUAAGGCGUGUGGGUUCGACUCCCACCCUUCGCACCA